RNAcentral lists this ribosomal RNA (465 nucleotides) under uncultured bacterium. RNAcentral's name for it is "partial 16S ribosomal RNA". It matches the Rfam family "Bacterial small subunit ribosomal RNA", at positions 28 to 507 of the family's 1533-position model. The record is from RNAcentral.
GACGAACGCUGGCGGCGUGCUUAACACAUGCAAGUCGAACGGAAAGGCCCUGCUUGCCGGGUACUCGAGUGGCGAACGGGUGAGUAACACGUGGGUGAUCUGCCCUGCACUUCGGGAUAAGCCUGGGAAACUGGGCCUAAUACCGGAUAGGAGCCAUUUUUAGUGUGAUGGUUGGAAAGUUUUUUCGGUGUAGGAUGAGCUCGCGGCCUAUCAGCUUGUUGGUGGGGUAAUGGCCUACCAAGGCGGCGACGGGUAGCCGGCCUGAGAGGGUGGACGGCCACAUUGGGACUGAGAUACGGCCCAGACUCCUACGGGAGGCAGCAGUGGGGAAUAUUGCACAAUGGGCGCAAGCCUGAUGCAGCGACGCCGCGUGGGGGAUGACGGCCUUCGGGUUGUAAACUCCUUUCGCUAGGGACGAAGCUUUUUGUGACGGUACCUAGAUAAGAAGCACCGGCUAACUACGUG